This 497-nucleotide ribosomal RNA is filed under the name uncultured bacterium. RNAcentral describes it as "partial 16S ribosomal RNA". It matches the Rfam family "Bacterial small subunit ribosomal RNA", at positions 28 to 507 of the family's 1533-position model. The record is from RNAcentral.
GAUGAACGCUGGCGGCGUGCCUAAUACAUGCAAGUCGAGCGAAUGGACGAGAAGCUUGCUUCUCUGAUGUUAGCGGCGGACGGGUGAGUAACACGUGGAUAACCUACCUAUAAGACUGGGAUAACUUCGGGAAACCGUAGCUAAUACCGGAUAAUAUUUUGAACCGCAUGGUUCAAAAGUGAAAGACGGUCUUGCUGUCACUUAUAGAUGGAUCCGCGCUGCAUUAGCUAGUUGGUAAGGUAACGGCUUACCAAGGCAACGAUGCAUAGCCGACCUGAGAGGGUGAUCGGCCACACUGGAACUGAGACACGGUCCAGACGCCUACGGGAGGCAGCAGUAGGGAAUCUUCCGCAAUGGGCGAAAGCCUUACGGAGCAACGCCGCGUGAGUGAUGAAGGUCUUCGGAUCGUAAAACUCUGUUAUUAGGGAAGAACAUAUGUGUAAGUAACUGUGCACAUCUUGACGGUACCUAAUCAGAAAGCCACGGCUAACUACGUG